RNAcentral lists this long non-coding RNA (1472 nucleotides) under Triticum aestivum (bread wheat). RNAcentral describes it as "long non-coding RNA (TAES_LNC006307)". The record is from RNAcentral. Lineage: Eukaryota; Viridiplantae; Streptophyta; Magnoliopsida; Poales; Poaceae.
CCGUAUUGAAAUCAAAGGUAUUUCGGUGCAUCUACUGUCGCGGAUUUGACUAUCCAACAACUGACUAAUCAUUGGUUUGUUUGUUCAUUUGCUGCCUAGUAUUGUUUUGGUGAUGUGUAGGCCAUUUAUCAUCAAACUUUUGUAGGUCCAGCUUUGUGUAGAUAGAUAACCCAUAGCUAUGUAUGCUGGCAACCGUGGCUAUUCCAUAAUUUCAAUAUUCGGUGCAUCGAAUAAUGGUGAGAAAUGCAGAGAAAACAUUGUUUCAUUGCUUCCUGUAUAAAAGAGCUUCGAAAUAUAUGCAUACGCAGUUGGCGGCAAUUUUUUUCUUUCUUUUAUCAAGAUUUCAUGCUUCCACACAACAAUAAUAAUGCACCAUUUGAAUUAUUUUCUAGCUUCAUACCUCAAGAAAAAUGAAAGCAUGACCGUACCAAAUAUAUGCAUCGAGGGUUGUUUCACUUGUUUGUUAGAUUACUGUUAAUAGGCUUGUUUGUGAGUAUGCUUUGGUGCAAAAUAUUCCAAGAAAUUACUAUUAGAUGGGAGCUUCCAAAUAUAUGCAUCUGCAGUUGGCGAAAAAAAAUUGGUUCCAUUUUCCAAAAUUUAUAUGCAUCCACCCAACACUAAUGAUGCACCAUUUUUGUUAUUUGCCAGCUUUAUCCUCUAGAAAACUGGAAUAAUUAUCGUACCAAAUAUAUGCAUCGAGGGUUAUUUGUUAGAAUACAGUUAAAAGGCCUGUUUAUCAGUAUGCUCUCUGCAAACCAUCUCUUAUAUAGAGGUACUACCGCACUACAAACAUUCUUUUCAAAUUUGUCCUAUAUGUCCUACUCCCUCCGUUCCUAAAUAUAAGUCUUUGUAGAGAUUUCACUAUGGACCACAUACAGAUGUAUCUAGAUGCAUUUUAGAGUAUAGAUUCACUCAUUUUGCUCCGUAUGUGGUCCAUAGUGAAAUCCCUCCAAAGACUUAUAUUUAGGAACCGAGGGAGUAUCAUUUAUGUUUUGGUAGAUCAAACCUCUCUUAAUUUCUUAUGUGUGCUUCUAAUAUAUAAUUGUUUUGCACCACAUGAUAUGUUUCUUCCAUAUUUUUAUUGAAGAGAGCUUUGCCUCCAUAGUUCAACCAAAUUCUGUAAACUUUUUGGAAUGUAGGUCAUCGAACAAUGUGUGUGUUCUGCUUGACUCCACCCUUGAUGACGUGGUGGUCAUAGCCUCAAACUGUAUGUGUGACAUUUAUGGUUGUGGUGUGUGGAAGACACAAAGGAGCCUGUGGUCGUGCCAUGCCCAGAGAGGAGAUCGUGAUUGGAUAAGAUUAGAGGCCGGGACAAUAUUUGUCCACAAAAGAGACAAUGUGCUAGCAUCUGGCUCAAGUUAAAGAAUUUUUUUUCUCGGAUGCAAAUUAUAUUUUAUUCGGAAGCAGAUUCUAAUAUCUCUAGAGAAAUGUCUUAUUGAUGGAAACAAAUAUAUUUUUUCUAUUGGAAGUGU